UGGGGAAUAUUGGGCAAUGGGCGCAAGCCUGACCCAGCCAUGCCGCGUGAGUGACGAAGGCCUUAGGGUUGUAAAGCUCUUUUGGCGGGGACGAUAAUGACGGUACCCGCAGAAUAAGCCCCGGCUAACUUCGUGCCAGCAGCCGCGGUAAUACGAAGGGGGCUAGCGUUGUUCGGAAUCACUGGGCGUAAAGCGCACGUAGGCGGACUUUCAAGUCAGGGGUGAAAUCCCGGGGCUCAACCUCGGAACUGCCUUUGAUACUGUUGGUCUCGAGUCCGGAAGAGGUGGGUGGAAUUCCUAGUGUAGAGGUGAGAUUCGUAGAUAUUAGGAAGAACACCGGUGGCGAAGGCGGCCCACUGGUCCGGUACUGACGCUGAGGUGCGAAAGCGUGGGGAGCAAACA
Molecule: ribosomal RNA, 402 nt
Filed under: uncultured bacterium
Lineage: Bacteria
Description: bacterial SSU rRNA
Rfam family: Bacterial small subunit ribosomal RNA
Source: RNAcentral